GAUGAACGCUGGCGGCGUGCCUAAUACAUGCAAGUCGAGCGAACAGACGAGGAGCUUGCUCCUCUGACGUUAGAGGCGGACGUGUGAGUAACAUGUGGAUAACCUACCUAUAAGACUGGGAUAAUUUCGGGAAACCGGAGCUAAUACGGGAUAAUAUAUUGAAGCGAAUGGUUGAAUGGUGAAAGACGGUUUUGCUGUAACUUAUAGAUGGAUCCGCGCCGCAUUAGCUAGUUGGUAAGGUAACGGCUUACCAAGGCAACGAUGCGUAGCCGACCUGAGAGGGUGAUCGGCCACACUGGAACUGAGACACGGUCCAGACUCCUACGGGAGGCAGCAGUAGGGAAUCUUCCGCAAUGGGCGAAAGCCUGACGGAGCAACGCCGCGUGAGUGAUGAAGGUCUUCGGAUCGUAAAACUCUGUUAUUAGGGAAGAACAAAUGUGUAAGUAACUAUGCACGUCUUGACGGUACCUAAUCAGAAAGCCACGGCUAACUACGUG
Molecule: ribosomal RNA, 497 nt
Filed under: uncultured bacterium
Lineage: Bacteria
Description: partial 16S ribosomal RNA
Rfam family: Bacterial small subunit ribosomal RNA
Source: RNAcentral